Non-coding RNA from Mycena leptocephala, 91 nucleotides. Lineage: Eukaryota; Fungi; Basidiomycota; Agaricomycetes; Agaricales; Mycenaceae. The record is from the annotation of a GenBank genome assembly.
GCCUCCGUGGUCUAGUGGUAAGAUGCUUGGUUGUUUAGUCUUCGAAAGAGCUUAUAUCAAAGAGUCGAGGAUUCGAAUCCCUCCGGAGGCA